Molecule: ribosomal RNA, 371 nt
Filed under: uncultured organism
Description: bacterial SSU rRNA
Rfam family: Bacterial small subunit ribosomal RNA
Source: RNAcentral
CAGAGGGGCAAGCGUUGUUCGGAAUUACUGGGCGUAAAGGGCGCGUAGGCGGCCUUCUAAGUCGAACGUGAAAUCCCCGGGCUCAACCCGGGAACUGCGUCCGAUACUGGAAGGCUUGAAUCCGGGAGAGGGAUGUGGAAUUCCAGGUGUAGCGGUGAAAUGCGUAGAUAUCUGGAGGGACACCGGUGGCGAAGGCGACAUCCUGGACCGGUAUUGACGCUGAGGCGCGAAAGCCAGGGGAGCAAACGGGAUUAGAUACCCCGGUAGUCCUGGCCCUAAACGAUGAAUGCUUGGUGUGGCGGGUAUCGAUCCCUGCCGUGCCGAAGCUAACGCAUUAAGCAUUCCGCCUGGGGAGUACGGUCGCAAGGCUG